Molecule: ribosomal RNA, 246 nt
Filed under: uncultured Lactobacillus sp.
Lineage: Bacteria; Bacillati; Bacillota; Bacilli; Lactobacillales; Lactobacillaceae
Description: partial 16S ribosomal RNA
Rfam family: Bacterial small subunit ribosomal RNA
Source: RNAcentral
CGUGGGUAACCUGCCCAAGAGAUCGGGAUAACACCUGGAAACAGAUGCUAAUACCGGAUAACAACAGAUGAUGCCUAUCAACUGUUUAAAAGAUGGUUCUACUAUCACUCUUGGAUGGACCUGCGGUGCAUUAGCUAGUUGGUAGGGUAACGGCCUACCAAGGCGAUGAUGCAUAGCCGAGUUGAGAGACUGAUCGGCCACAUUGGGACUGAGACACGGCCCAAACUCCUACGGGAGGCAGCAGGC